CGCGCAGGUGGUUGAUUAAGUCUGAUGUGAAAGCCCACGGCUUAACCGUGGAGGGUCAUUGGAAACUGGUCGACUUGAGUGCAGAAGAGGGAAGUGGAAUUCCAUGUGUAGCGGUGAAAUGCGUAGAGAUAAGGAGGAACACCAGUGGCGAAGGCGGCUUCCUGGUCUGUAACUGACACUGAGGCGCGAAAGCGUGGGGAGCAAACA
This 207-nucleotide ribosomal RNA is filed under the name uncultured bacterium. Its description in RNAcentral is "partial 16S ribosomal RNA". It matches the Rfam family "Bacterial small subunit ribosomal RNA", at positions 568 to 774 of the family's 1533-position model. The record is from RNAcentral.